AAAACGCACACACAAUGCGCCUUGUAUUUUUAUUUGGUUUUCCAACUUUUGGGGUUGUGUGGUAUUGCUGUGCACUUAUACGUUUACAUGUGAAUGUCGGUAUGUAUGUCCGUGUGUACGGUGUUUUUAAGUAUCUAUGUUUGGUUAUAUGCGCUUGUGUGUGCAUGUAUCUGGAUCUGUUUGCCCCUCAGCGAUAGGAGAACGGGGAAAAGAGCAAAGCGGGAGCAAGAGAGAGAGGAGAGCGCGUUCUCGAGCUCAUUGCUCUCGUUGCAUUCGAUGGAUUCUGGCCCGUAGCCCGUAUCCGUAUCCGUAGCUGUAAGUUGUAUUAAUGAAAGUGAGUCCAGCACAGCAGCAAAAGAAAGCAGGCCGCGGCUCAGCUGCACAACGACAAGUUCUGUUCUGUUCUGUUCUGGUCGGCUUACAAGUGUUUUCAUUUUUCCAAGAUGCAGCACUAAAGGGGACCAAUAUGGAAUAUGGAAUAUGGAAUGCCUUUCCUAAAACUCGAUCACCGGCACUGGAAUGUAUUUGGAUGCGAUACUCACGCACACGUGUGCACCGAAUGUACCUGCAGAUACACAGAUACAUAUGCUCACCGAUACAAAUGCAGAUACAGUAUCUGUUGGAAAUGUGAGAACUCGUUUCCCUAAUCCAGCAUCCUUGUAAGAGCCCAUCCCUUUCCCUCCCGCACACGCAUGAUUAUGCAGGUUAGGACCCAUAGUCCUUCAAACCUUUUCAAGCUAAUACCAGAUACAGUAUCUCACACCUUCUCCCGCAACAAAGAUAAACCCUAUCGUCACUUGCGGCAUGGCCUAUCACUCAAUGGGCUUAGGAUACAAUAAAAAAUUCGUUUCUUAAUGGCUUUUAUUCAUUUUAUUAAUUAUUAUGAGCUUGGAGUGGGCUGAAAGGCUUAUGGCGAAAAGUCACAGGGGGCGGGGACUGUAAUCUAAGCUAAUUGAAAAGGCGGGCACAGCUUUGCAAAAAAAAAAAAAAAUAAAUAACAAAAAACACCAUACCCUUUCAUCUUCUUGCAUUUAUAAAUGGUUAUAGAUUGUAAGUAUUUGUAUAUCAUACGGAUAUGAUCCUUGGACCAGUAGAGCACCCCUCCCCAAAACAUAACAUUUCGGAUAAUACGUUCCAUGGCUUAUAUAUGUAUCUUUCAUAUUUUUCUGUGCAAUAUUUGUACACAAUGUUCUUAUAAAAAGGUCAGAUAAUACAGAAAACAAUUAUAAAUUAAACAAGAUACAAAAAUGUAUACCCAAAAGAUCAUAGAUUUUAGGGCUAAUAUCACAAAAA
Long non-coding RNA from Drosophila ananassae, 1293 nucleotides. RefSeq lists it as uncharacterized. Lineage: Eukaryota; Metazoa; Arthropoda; Insecta; Diptera; Drosophilidae. The record is from RefSeq and is a predicted model, not a curated record. The transcript has 2 exons.